Molecule: ribosomal RNA, 464 nt
Filed under: uncultured bacterium
Lineage: Bacteria
Description: partial 16S ribosomal RNA
Rfam family: Bacterial small subunit ribosomal RNA
Source: RNAcentral
CUACGGGUCGCUGCAGUGGGGAAUAUUGGACAAUGGGGGCAACCCCGAUCCAGCAAUGCCACGUGUGUGAAGAAGGCCUGAGGGUUGUAAAGCACUUUUAUCAGCGAGGAAGGUUGUUAGGUUAAGAGCUAAGCAGCUUGACGUUAGCUGAAGAAAAAGCACCGGCUAACUCCGUGCCAGCAGCCGCGGUAAUACGGAGGGUACAAGCGUUAAUCGGAAUUACUGGGCGUAAAGCGCGCGUAGGCGGCUAGAUCAGUCGGGUGUGAAAGCCCCGGGCUUAACCUGGGAACUGCAUCCGAUACUGUCUAGCUUGAGUACAGGAGAGGAGAGUGGAAUUCCACAUGUAGCGGUGAAAUGCGUAGAUAUGUGGAGGAACACCAAUGGCGAAGGCAGCUCUCUGGCCUGAUACUGACGCUGAGGUGCGAAAGCGUGGGGAGCAAACAGGAUUAGAUACCCCAGUAGUC